Molecule: long non-coding RNA, 1158 nt
Organism: Papaver somniferum (opium poppy)
Lineage: Eukaryota; Viridiplantae; Streptophyta; Magnoliopsida; Ranunculales; Papaveraceae
Exons: 2
Source: RefSeq, a predicted model, not a curated record
UUUCUUCGUUCUUCUUUUGCUCUUCGUCUCUUUCCUUUUCUGGUUGAUUUUGGGAGAUGAAGUAUUAUUCUGAGAUCGAGAUAACAAGAGUCUGAUCAUGAGUCAAGAGAUGGUGGAGAUAUGGUUGCUGUUUGAGUUAGGAGGAAUAAGAAUUGAGAAGCCAGUGAGUUAAGGUUUUCUUUAGUUGGGUUGUUUUCUGAGUUUGUGUAGAACGAGGAUGAUAUCGAGUUGUAACCACUGAAGAUUAAAAGGGUUGUUGGUGAAUUGAUGAGAUGAAGCAGUUUUGGUGAAGAAUCACAAAUCAGGUGAUAAUGAUUUCAGGGACUGGAUGAAUUGUAGCCAUGUUGAAUUGAAAUAGAUGAAGGGAUUGAAUUACAGGUUAAUAGUGUUGUGUACAUAGGUUCAUGUUGAACUGAAUCAGAUUAAGAUGAAGAAAGUGUUUUGAUUAUAAGAGAUAUGACUGUGUUUGGUGGUUAUGUGGUUUAGUAAAGCACUGGAUUUUGGAGAUGGGGUCGAUACUAAUGUGGUUGCUGGUGUAGGACAUGGCAGUUCUGAUGGAGUUAUAGGUAUGAGAUGAGUUUGAGAUUGAAUAUCUCAGGGGGAAGUGUAGUUGGUGGUAUGAUGAAGAACAAGCUGAACUGAGGAAUGAAGGUGUUAGUGCAAUGAGAGUGUGUAAACAAAGAGAAGUGAUUGAAGCUGAAAUUUCAGUAAACAAGGAAGUGUUGGUGCUCAUUGUGCAGGAGUAGAACUGGUGAUGUUAUUGGUGGGUUUGAAAGUAUAAUUGAGGUUGUUGUGUAUUAGUUGGGUGUUGAAACUGAACUUGUAGUGAAUUAAAGAUAUGGGGGAUGUUGAAAUGAUGUUGCAGGUGAUUAUUUGUGGAACUGAUGCUAUUAGUAUAAUCGUUCAAGUAAAGACUAUAGAAAUGCUGAACUGCAGUUUGGGUGUGUUGCAGUUGAAGCUAAUAUGGCAGUGUUGUUAGAAUUCAAGAGAUAUGUAUAAUAUUGCAAGUAUGCAGUGGAUAUGGCAAUGAGUUUCUGCCAUUAACUUUGUAGUGGAGAGUGAUAUAAAUGAUAUUAUAGUUGGAGAUUACAGUUAGAAGGAUUAUAGACUUUACUUGUUUGCCGUUGUGUUUUGAUUAUGCAUUAAAGUGUUUGGCUA